Molecule: ribosomal RNA, 459 nt
Filed under: uncultured bacterium
Lineage: Bacteria
Description: partial 16S ribosomal RNA
Rfam family: Bacterial small subunit ribosomal RNA
Source: RNAcentral
CCUACGGGAGGCAGCAGUGAGGAAUAUUGGUCAAUGGGAGAGAUCCUGAACCAGCCAAGCCGCGUGAGGGAAGACGGCCCUAUGGGUUGUAAACCUCUUUUGUCGGAGAACAAAACCCGGUACGUGUCCCGCACUGCGUGUAUCCUACGAAAAAGCAUCGGCUAACUCCGUGCCAGCAGCCGCGGUAAUACGGAGGAUGCGAGCGUUAUCCGGAUUUAUUGGGUUUAAAGGGUGCGUGGGCGGCCCGUUAAGUCAGCGGUAAAAUUGCGGGGCUCAACCCCGUCGAGCCGUUGAAACUGGCAGACUUGAGUGGGCGAGAAGCAGGCGGAAUGCGCGGUGUAGCGGUGAAAUGCAUAGAUAUCGCGAAGAACUCCGAUUGCGAAGGCAGCGUACCGGAGCGAGACUGACGCUGAGGCACGAAAGCGUGGGGAUCGAACAGGAUUAGAUACCCUGGUAGUC